ACAUUUCGCUUACACCGAAAACAUGUCUGUUCAACUCAGAUCAUUUUGA
RNAcentral lists this transfer RNA (49 nucleotides) under Microhyla ornata (ornate rice frog). RNAcentral's name for it is "partial tRNA-Val". The record is from RNAcentral. Lineage: Eukaryota; Metazoa; Chordata; Amphibia; Anura; Microhylidae.